Molecule: ribosomal RNA, 456 nt
Filed under: uncultured bacterium
Lineage: Bacteria
Description: bacterial SSU rRNA
Rfam family: Bacterial small subunit ribosomal RNA
Source: RNAcentral
UACGGAAGGCAGCAGUGGGGAAUAUUGCACAAUGGGCGCAAGCCUGAUGCAGCCAUGCCGCGUGUAUGAAGAAGGCCUUCGGGUUGUAAAGUACUUUCAGCGGGGAGGAAGGCGAUGCGGUUAAUAACCGCGUCGAUUGACGUUACCCGCAGAAGAAGCACCGGCUAACUCCGUGCCAGCAGCCGCGGUAAUACGGAGGGUGCAAGCGUUAAUCGGAAUUACUGGGCGUAAAGCGCACGCAGGCGGUCUGUUAAGUCAGAUGUGAAAUCCCCGGGCUUAACCUGGGAACUGCAUUUUGAAACUGGCAGGCUUGAGUCUUGUAGAGGGGGUAGAAUUCCAGGUGUAGCGGUGAAAUGCGUAGAGAUCUGGAGGAAUACCGGUGGCGAAGGCGGCCCCUGGGACAAAGCUGACGCUCAGGUGCGAAAGCGUGGGGAGCGAAACAGGGAUUAGGAUACC